AAGGGAAAAUGACAGGAGAGAAGGCAGCCAAGAAGUGGGAGAAUUUGAAGAAACGGACCUGAAACAACCAAAGACGGGCUCAGGUACAGACAGUGGCGAAACAACAGCAUCGAAUUGCCGGUACUAUGAGGCGAUGCACGCCGUUUUGGGGGGAAGGCCAGCAAUAGAUCCUCCCGUGAUUGUGGCAUCUUUCAAGCCGGCAGAGGACCCUACAUCAUUGUUAAUGGCCAUUGUCACGCCCGAA
This is a long non-coding RNA of Alosa sapidissima (American shad), 244 nucleotides long. RefSeq lists it as uncharacterized. The transcript has 3 exons. Lineage: Eukaryota; Metazoa; Chordata; Actinopteri; Clupeiformes; Clupeidae. The record is from RefSeq and is a predicted model, not a curated record.